Long non-coding RNA from Gymnogyps californianus (California condor), 456 nucleotides. RefSeq lists it as uncharacterized. The record is from RefSeq and is a predicted model, not a curated record. NCBI's taxonomy places the organism in Eukaryota, Metazoa, Chordata, Aves, Accipitriformes, Cathartidae. The transcript has 3 exons.
GGAGCUAAAAAGCUUUACCAGCACAGCUAUGAAGAAUGCAAUAAAUCAUAGUCUUCGCUGAGGCUGUUAAGACUGCAAAAAGUCCUGGCAUAGGGAUCAGUACACACACAAAAGAUGGGUAAAAUAUCCUCGUAUGCCUGCACACAUGCAGGCCCAUCACCCAAGGAGCCAAGGUUCAGAUUCUCAAGUUUGAGUGGCCAGCUGAGGAGUCGCUUCACCGAGAGCCGGAAGGGGCUGGGCAAUCAAGACCGUGGUGGCAACGGAGUGGUGUAAUGAGACGGGAUGAAAUCUCUUCAGUGUUUGGACCUUGAGUCAAUAACAGGCUGGAAUAAACUCCAAGGGCAGGAGUGCAGUUGCUGCAGGUAGGCUUGUGUUUGAUAUAGCAGCGCGUCCUGACAGAUCUCAAGUCAAAUGGCAUGACUAAGGCCGGUUAUUACUUACUGGUAUUGCAUUUCA